GGGCGCUUGGUUUAGGGGUAUAACAUAUCACCCGCAUAGUUACACUGACUUAGCAUGUUAUGAUAAGGUCGCCGGUUCGAUUCCGGCAGCGUCCA
Molecule: non-coding RNA, 95 nt
Organism: Onygenales sp. PD_10
Lineage: Eukaryota; Fungi; Ascomycota; Eurotiomycetes; Onygenales
Source: the annotation of a GenBank genome assembly